Molecule: long non-coding RNA, 236 nt
Filed under: Phoenix dactylifera (date palm)
Lineage: Eukaryota; Viridiplantae; Streptophyta; Magnoliopsida; Arecales; Arecaceae
Description: long non-coding RNA (PDAC_LNC005133)
Source: RNAcentral
UGUUACAAAAGAAUUUUGAUGUGCAUCAAAUUUAGAACUCUCAGCCUGGCUAUGUUCUGGACCCUGCCAAUAGGGGGUUAUGCAUUGGCAAUUCUGGCCCCACCACAGGGUAUAAGUGUGAUAUUCUGGCCCACUCCGCAGGAUAUAAGUGCGGUAUUCUGGCCCACUCCGCAGGGUAUAAGUGCGGUUCUAUUUCUGGCCUAGCCACAGGGUAUAAGUGUGGUCGUAGCUAAAGG